GGGACUGUAGCUCAGAAGGUUAGAGCGGUGGAUUGAAAUCCCACAGGUCGGGCGUUCGAUUCGCCCCGGUCCCACCA
Molecule: transfer RNA, 77 nt
Filed under: Delftia tsuruhatensis
Lineage: Bacteria; Pseudomonadati; Pseudomonadota; Betaproteobacteria; Burkholderiales; Comamonadaceae
Also listed under: 5 other names
Description: tRNA-Phe
Rfam family: tRNA
About the family: Transfer RNA (tRNA) molecules are approximately 80 nucleotides in length. Their secondary structure includes four short double-helical elements and three loops (D, anti-codon, and T loops). Further hydrogen bonds mediate the characteristic L-shaped molecular structure. tRNAs have two regions of fundamental functional importance: the anti-codon, which is responsible for specific mRNA codon recognition, and the 3' end, to which the tRNAs corresponding amino acid is attached (by aminoacyl-tRNA synthetases). tRNAs cope with the degeneracy of the genetic code in two manners: having more than one tRNA (with a specific anti-codon) for a particular amino acid; and 'wobble' base-pairing, i.e. permitting non-standard base-pairing at the 3rd anti-codon position.
Source: RNAcentral